GAUGAACGCUGGCGGCGUGCCUAAUACAUGCAAGUCGAGCGAACAGAUAAGGAGCUUGCUCCUUUGACGUUAGCGGCGGACGGGUGAGUAACACGUGGGUAACCUACCUAAAAGACUGGGAUAACUUCGGGAAACCGGAGCUAAUACCGGAUAAUAUUUCGAACCGCAUGGUUCGAUAGUGAAAGAUGGUUUUGCUAUCACUUAUAGAUGGACCCGCGCCGUAUUAGCUAGUUGGUAAGGUAACGGCUUACCAAGGCGACGAUACGUAGCCGACCUGAGAGGGUGAUCGGCCACACUGGAACUGAGACACGGUCCAGACUCCUACGGGAGGCAGCAGUAGGGAAUCUUCCGCAAUGGGCGAAAGCCUGACGGAGCAACGCCGCGUGAGUGAUGAAGGUCUUCGGAUCGUAAAACUCUGUUAUUAGGGAAGAACAUACGUGUAAGUAACUGUGCACGUCUUGACGGUACCUAAUCAGAAAGCCACGGCUAACUACGUG
Molecule: ribosomal RNA, 497 nt
Filed under: uncultured bacterium
Lineage: Bacteria
Description: partial 16S ribosomal RNA
Rfam family: Bacterial small subunit ribosomal RNA
Source: RNAcentral